AAGUCGUAACAAGGUUUCCGUAGGUGAACCUGCGGAAGGAUCAUCAACAAAUCAAUUCGUUGGGCUUGCCCAACAAAUACCAAUGUGAAUUAGGGGAUUUAUCCUCUUCUGGACCAUUUUUAUGGGCCAAAGUAUACUAGACCAGAGUCGGACAAACAAAAUAAUGAAAACAACUUUUAACAAUGGAUCUCUUGGCUCUU
RNAcentral lists this unclassified non-coding RNA (200 nucleotides) under fungal sp. RNAcentral describes it as "partial internal transcribed spacer region". The stretch from base 1 to 46 matches the Rfam family "Eukaryotic small subunit ribosomal RNA", at positions 1786 to 1831 of the family's 1831-position model. The record is from RNAcentral. Lineage: Eukaryota; Fungi. RNAcentral also lists the same sequence under 1 other name.